GUCUUACUUGUACAUUGCCACUUUUUGAAGACUGUGUCUUACUUGUACAUUUCCACUUGUUGAAGACUGUGUCUUACUUGUACAUUGCCACUUGUUGAAGACUGUGUCUUACUUGUACAUUGCCACUAGUUGAAGACUGUGUCUUACUUGUACAUUGCCAUUUGUUGAAGACUGUGUCUUACAUUUACAUUGCCACUUGUUGAAGACUGUCUUACUUGUACAUUGCCACUUGUUGAAGACUGUGUCUUACUUGUACAUUGCCACUUGUUGAAGACUGUGUCUUACAUUUACAUUGCCACUUGUUGAAGACUGCAUGUAGCCCUUAAGAUAUCUCUGUCUUAGUUAUUACACUUAUUUCUAGUAUACUAUAUUGAUGACCGUAUGUUGCCUCC
RNAcentral lists this long non-coding RNA (392 nucleotides) under Mytilus galloprovincialis (Mediterranean mussel). Lineage: Eukaryota; Metazoa; Mollusca; Bivalvia; Mytilida; Mytilidae. The record is from RNAcentral.